UAUCGGGAAUUUCGUCUAUAAAAGAGCUUUGUUCAAGACUACAAACUCUGUGGAAUGACUCUACGGACGGGCCUUUACCUGGCGAUGCAACUUCCUUCACUCAUGAGAUCUAUCUCACUUUGAUCCCUAAAUUACUGGAAUGCAUAAACACCGUCAAGAUUGCUCACGUUCAUGUGGCGGCUUCGCAAUGCCUGCUUGAUCUCAUCCAUCUGUAUCGCAAGGUUUCAUCGGUGCAUCGGGUGGACGACGUGGAUUUCAAGGCGGAGAUACUCUCUCUGCUCGAAGUCGAAAAGAAUGAAGAAGCUAAGUCUUUGUUAAGAAAAUCUAUUGAUGCCUUAGGUUAUCUUUCUAGGUGACGUGUCACAUAGGGUAGAACCUUAUGCCUUAAGACAUAUCUCUCACGCCUUUUGCAAUACCGGAGAAUUUAAAAUGAUCUCCUUCUUUCGGUAGAACUUCGUUAUUUUUCUUCUAGUCUUCUUGUUUUUAUUUCACUCGUGUUUUCUAUAAAGAGGCAGAUCUUCUUUUAUUUC
This is a long non-coding RNA of Tarenaya hassleriana, 530 nucleotides long. RefSeq lists it as uncharacterized. Lineage: Eukaryota; Viridiplantae; Streptophyta; Magnoliopsida; Brassicales; Cleomaceae. The transcript is spliced from 3 exons. The record is from RefSeq and is a predicted model, not a curated record.